GGGCUUGUAAAGGUUUCGACUGGGGUUUUGAAACUGGUGAAGCAAUCCGUAUGCAAUGCGUUAAAUGGCAAAUCUAAAUAUAAACGCUAACGAAAAUUUAGCUUACGCUGCCUAGUUGCAGCAGUCUGACCUAGGGCACUCACACCUUAGGACCCAGGCUUCGAUUAUGUGAGAAACGACAUAACCUAAGCUUUGCGGUUAUGGGCGUAUCAUGAAGCUACUAAAAUCAGCAGGGUGUUAGUUCCCGGCUGAUGGAGGGAACAAAACAGGGCGAGCCUGUUUAUAAAUAACUGACUAAGAUUGUAGAAGAACAGCGGAGGAGCUUUAGGACAGGGGUUCGACUCCCCUCAGGUCCACUU
This 359-nucleotide transfer-messenger RNA is filed under the name Eubacteriales bacterium. It matches the Rfam family "transfer-messenger RNA". From Rfam's summary of the family: Bacterial tmRNA, also known as 10Sa RNA or SsrA, is named for its dual tRNA and mRNA-like properties. Its role is to liberate the mRNA from a stalled ribosome. Lineage: Bacteria; Bacillati; Bacillota; Clostridia; Eubacteriales. The record is from RNAcentral.